GUCGAUUUUUGGCUUUUUGGGUAAUGAUCAAAUGUAGUGUCUUGUUCUUAUCGGUUUAAUGUCUGUGUGUGUUCUGAAUUUGACAACGGAGUGUUAAACGCGUUUUUGGAAGGAGGAAGCGAUGAUGGUGGCUAGGUUUGUUUUCUGCACUUGUCUACCUGGUAGUGUAGUAUUUCCAGGAAUGGUGGUGCCCUU
Molecule: small nuclear RNA, 195 nt
Organism: Piliocolobus tephrosceles (Ugandan red Colobus)
Lineage: Eukaryota; Metazoa; Chordata; Mammalia; Primates; Cercopithecidae
Product: U2 spliceosomal RNA
Exons: 1
Source: RefSeq, a predicted model, not a curated record